CACCCCUCAAGCACCGCUUGGCGUUGGGGCACCGCGGCCGCCCGCGGGCCCUGAAAACCAGUGGCGGGCUCGCCGCGGCCCCGAGCGCAGUAGUACACCUCGCUCCGGGCGCCCGGCGGGCCUCGCGCCGUGAAAGAGCAACGCAACCCACCCCA
Molecule: unclassified non-coding RNA, 155 nt
Filed under: uncultured Sordariomycetes
Lineage: Eukaryota; Fungi; Ascomycota; Sordariomycetes
Description: sequence contains ITS2
Source: RNAcentral